RNAcentral lists this transfer RNA (85 nucleotides) under Felis catus (domestic cat). It matches the Rfam family "tRNA". From Rfam's summary of the family: Transfer RNA (tRNA) molecules are approximately 80 nucleotides in length. Lineage: Eukaryota; Metazoa; Chordata; Mammalia; Carnivora; Felidae. The record is from Rfam by way of RNAcentral.
GUCUGGGUGGCUCAGUUGGUUAAGCGUCUGAUUUUAGCUCAGAUCAUGAUCUCAUGGUUCGUGAGUUCGAGCCCCACAUCAGCCU